Molecule: long non-coding RNA, 610 nt
Organism: Malaclemys terrapin pileata
Lineage: Eukaryota; Metazoa; Chordata; Testudines; Emydidae
Exons: 2
Source: RefSeq, a predicted model, not a curated record
GCAACUCUCCAACCUCAUUCCCAUUUUAUGAGAUUAACCGGGUGCUGGGCACUACACCCAGCAUACAGCAGCCAACUAUGGUGCAUGAUGACCUGGUCAGCCAGGAUGGUGUGCUGCUGGCCCCUGAAUCCAGCAUGGGGGCUGAUGUGAGCCAGAGCAGGAGCUGAAUGGGGAGCAUAAAGUAACUCUGGUUUUGAAACCAGUCCCAGUGGAACAGGAUCAAAUUCUAACUCCCUACUUGGAAAAGCUGUUUGAUCCCUGCCCUGAGGAACACCCCGCUGCCAAGUCUACAGCAAAUCUGAAGGAGACAGAAGCCACCCCAGAGCCCAGACAAAAUAAAGAAGAUGGAGCUGUGAGUCCAUUUGUUUCAGCAACCUUCCAAACAGAUUGGAGAAUAGGUUGUUGCAUUUUGCACUGGGUAUGGAGUCUCCUAGCAACUUUCCACUGGAUCUUCCUCCAGGGAGGUAGGGAACCCUUCGUGAGCAUUAGACCAAAUCAACUCCCCAUUAGAAGUCAUGAGUUGUCCUCAUUUGUGUUAAACAUAACAUGCUGACUUUGUAUCUCUCACUACCGUGUAUAUUUUAGUAAUAAAACCUUUGAUUUGUCUUUU